RNAcentral lists this ribosomal RNA (501 nucleotides) under uncultured bacterium. Its description in RNAcentral is "partial 16S ribosomal RNA". It matches the Rfam family "Bacterial small subunit ribosomal RNA", at positions 30 to 523 of the family's 1533-position model. The record is from RNAcentral.
AUUGCACGCUGGCGGCAGGCUUAACACAUGCAAGUCGAGCGGAGAUGAGGUGCUUGCACCUUAUCUUAGCGGCGGACGGGUGAGUAAUGCUUAGGAAUCUGCCUAUUAGGGGGGGACGACAUUCCGAAAGGAAUGCUAAUACCGCAUACGUCCUACGGGAGAAAGCAGGGGAUCUUCGGACCUUGCGCUAAUAGAUGAGCCUAAGUCGGAUUAGCUAGUUGGUGGGGUAAAGGCCUACCAAGGCGACGAUCGGUAGCGGGUCUGAGAGGAUGAUCCGCCACACUGGGACUGAGACACGGCCCAGACUCCUACGGGAGGCAGCAGUGGGGAAUAUUGGACAAUGGGGGGAACCCUGAUCCAGCCAUGCCGCGUGUGUGAAGAAGGCCUUAUGGUUGUAAAGCACUUUAAGCGAGGAGGAGGCUACUGAGACUAAUACUCUUGGAUAGUGGACGUUACUCGCAGAAUAAGCACCGGCUAACUCUGUGCCAGCCGCCGCAGUAA